CUCUCUCUCUCUCUCUCUCAGACCGUGGACCAAAAUCGUGGGAGUUCCUUAUGAGACUUUUAGCAGACCCAAAAUCCAACCCUAAUAUCAUAAGAUGGGAGGACGAGGCGAGUCACACGUUCCGCCUGGUCCAACCCCAAUACAUCGCUUCCAUGUGGGGUCAAAGGUCAAACAGAAAGGACAUUAGCUACCACAACUUCGCCCGCGCCCUCAGGUACCACUAUCACACGAAGUAUCUAAUCAAGGUGUCGGAGAGGCAGCUGGUCUAUAGGUGUGGUGAGCCCGCCAUCGCCUUCCUUACCGAUCUCAUGAAUCAACAGAGAGAGGAGGAGGGGAAGAGGUAUUGAGGAGGAGGAGGAGGAGGAGGAGGGGAAGAGGUAUUGAGGAGGAGGAGGAAGAGAAAGAGAAAGGAGGAAAACGGAGGAAAAAUUGAGAAGAGAGAGAGAGAGAGAGAGAGAGAGAGAGAGAGAGAGAGAGAGAGAGAGAGAGAGAGAGAGAGAGAGAGAGAGAGA
Long non-coding RNA from Eriocheir sinensis (Chinese mitten crab), 512 nucleotides. RefSeq lists it as uncharacterized. The record is from RefSeq and is a predicted model, not a curated record. The transcript is spliced from 3 exons. NCBI's taxonomy places the organism in Eukaryota, Metazoa, Arthropoda, Malacostraca, Decapoda, Varunidae.